GUGGGGAAUUUUGGACAAUGGGCGCAAGCCUGAUCCAGCAAUGCCGCGUGCAGGAUGAAGGCCCUCGGGUUGUAAACUGCUUUUGUACGGAACGAAAAGCCUGGGGCUAAUAUCCCCGGGUCAUGACGGUACCGUAAGAAUAAGCACCGGCUAACUACGUGCCAGCAGCCGCGGUAAUACGUAGGGUGCAAGCGUUAAUCGGAAUUACUGGGCGUAAAGCGUGCGCAGGCGGUUUUGUAAGACAGUGGUGAAAUCCCCGGGCUCAACCUGGGAACUGCCAUUGUGACUGCAAAGCUAGAGUGCGGCAGAGGGGGAUGGAAUUCCGCGUGUAGCAGUGAAAUGCGUAGAUAUGCGGAGGAACACCGAUGGCGAAGGCAAUCCCCUGGGCCUGCACUGACGCUCAUGCACGAAAGCGUGGGGAGCAAACAGGAUUAGAUACCCGUGUAGUCC
RNAcentral lists this ribosomal RNA (450 nucleotides) under uncultured bacterium. RNAcentral's name for it is "partial 16S ribosomal RNA". It matches the Rfam family "Bacterial small subunit ribosomal RNA", at positions 354 to 796 of the family's 1533-position model. The record is from RNAcentral.